This 574-nucleotide ribosomal RNA is filed under the name uncultured Cortinarius. Its description in RNAcentral is "eukaryotic LSU rRNA". The stretch from base 205 to 355 matches the Rfam family "5.8S ribosomal RNA". Lineage: Eukaryota; Fungi; Basidiomycota; Agaricomycetes; Agaricales; Cortinariaceae. The record is from RNAcentral.
UCGGGAGCAUGUGCACACCUGUCAUCUUUAUAUCUCCACCUGUGCACCUUUUGUAAACCUGAAUAUCUUUCUGAAUGGCCUGGCAUAAUUCAGGUUUGAGGAUUGAUCUUUUUCUUUCCUUACAUUUUCAGGUUUAUGUUUUUCAUAUACCCCAAGUAUGUUAUAGAAUGUCAUAAACGGGCCUUUGUGCCUAUAAAUUUAUACAACUUUCAGCAACGGUCUCUUGGCUCUCGCAUCGAUGAAGAACGCAGCGAAAUGCGAUAAGUAAUGUGAAUUGCAGAAUUCAGUGAUCAUCGAAUCUUUGAACCACCUUGCGCUCCUUGGUAUUCCGAGGAGCAUGCCUGUUUGAGUGUCAUUAAUAUAUCAACCUCUUCAAGCUUUUUGCAUGUUGAGUGUUGGAUGUGGGGGUAUUUUUUUGCUGGACUCUAGAAUCUGAGGUCAGCUCCCCUAAAAUGCAUCAGCGAAACAAUUUGUUUACCGCUCAUUGGUGUGAUAACUAUCUACGCUAUUGACGGUGAAAGCACGUUUAGCUCCUAACAGUCCAUUAACUUGGACAACCUCUUUAUUAAUGUGA